AUGGCGCACGCAUCUGGGUUCUGCCCGCCGCCGUCAUACACCCCGGGUGCGUCCCAGUGCGCCCCCUUCUUCCUGGGCUUCGGCGGCGACUUCUGCGACCCGUCGUUCUCCGACUACUACGACUACCAGGAGUACGCCCCAUCGAGCCCUUCGCCGCUCGCCAGCUCCAAGGACUACUACACUCCAUCGAGCCCUGACUACAGUCCGGCGAGCCCCGACUACAGUCCGGCGAGCCCGGAUUACACUCCCGCGAGCCCCGACUACACGCCGGCGAGCCCUGACUACAGUCCGGCGAGCCCCGACUACACUCCGGCGAGCCCGGACUACACUCCCGCGAGCCCCGACUACACGCCGGCGAGCCCGGACUACACUCCGGAGAGCCCCGACUACACUCCAUCAAGCCCAGACUACACUCCGGCGAGCCCUGACUACAAUCCAUCAAGCCCAGACUACACUCCGGCGAGCCCUUCACCGUCGCUGGUGUACACUUCGUCAAGCCCUGUUCGGCUCGCUUUCAUGAUGCCGUCUCCUCCGUCAGAGCACGCUGGUACAUCACCUUACUAUACUCCGUUGAGUCCUCCCGGUCCCGGGCACGCUUCUUCGCCGGAUUACACGCCCAGCACGCCGCCUCCGUCGCCCCUGGUGGUGUCUGACGCCGAGUCGUGCGCGUCGCCGUAUUACACACCGUCAACUCCUUCCAGGAGCGCCGAGUCGCCGGACUACAUGCCCAGCACGCCGCCUCCAUCGCCCCUGGCGUCAGAAGCAGAGUCGACCACGUCUACAGCGUGCUGCCGCCACCAUCCGUACCAGAGGAGCGGCGCCGGCCGGAUCAACCGCGGCGGACGUCAGCGAGCCUUGGCAUAUUGA
This 867-nucleotide ribosomal RNA is filed under the name Triticum aestivum (bread wheat). RNAcentral's name for it is "partial small subunit ribosomal RNA". Lineage: Eukaryota; Viridiplantae; Streptophyta; Magnoliopsida; Poales; Poaceae. The record is from RNAcentral.